RNAcentral lists this ribosomal RNA (301 nucleotides) under uncultured bacterium. Its description in RNAcentral is "partial 16S ribosomal RNA". It matches the Rfam family "Bacterial small subunit ribosomal RNA", at positions 509 to 807 of the family's 1533-position model. The record is from RNAcentral.
CAGUAGCCACGGUAAUACAGAGGGUGCAAGCGUUAAUCGGAAUUACUGGGCGUAAAGCGCGCGUAGGUGGUUCGUUAAGUUGGAUGUGAAAUCCCCGGGCUCAACCUGGGAACUGCAUCCAAAACUGGCGAGCUAGAGUAGGGCAGAGGGUGGUGGAAUUUCCUGUGUAGCGGUGAAAUGCGUAGAUAUAGGAAGGAACACCAGUGGCGAAGGCGACCACCUGGGCUCAUACUGACACUGAGGUGCGAAAGCGUGGGGAGCAAACAGGAUUAGAUACCCGUGUAGUCCCUGUCUCUUAUAC